Molecule: ribosomal RNA, 417 nt
Filed under: uncultured bacterium
Lineage: Bacteria
Description: bacterial SSU rRNA
Rfam family: Bacterial small subunit ribosomal RNA
Source: RNAcentral
UGGGGAAUAUUGGGCAAUGGGCGCAAGCCUGACCCAGCAACGCCGCGUGAAGGAAGAAGGCUUUCGGGUUGUAAACUUCUUUCUCAGGGACGAAGCAAGUGACGGUACCUGAGGAAUAAGCCACGGCUAACUACGUGCCAGCAGCCGCGGUAAUACGUAGGUGGCAAGCGUUAUCCGGAUUUACUGGGUGUAAAGGGCGUGUAGGCGGGAAAGCAAGUCAGAUGUGAAAACCAUGGGCUCAACCUGUGGCCUGCAUUUGAAACUGUUUUUCUUGAGUACUGGAGAGGCAUACGGAAUUCCUAGUGUAGCGGUGAAAUGCGUAGAUAUUAGGAGGAACACCAGUGGCGAAGGCGGUCUGCUGGACAGCAACUGACGCUGAGGCGCGAAAGCGUGGGGAGCAAACAGGAUUAGAUACCC